RNAcentral lists this ribosomal RNA (492 nucleotides) under uncultured bacterium. RNAcentral describes it as "bacterial SSU rRNA". It matches the Rfam family "Bacterial small subunit ribosomal RNA", at positions 791 to 1307 of the family's 1533-position model. The record is from RNAcentral.
UAGUCCACACCGUAAACGAUGAGAGCUAGUUGUCUGCAGGCAUGCCUGUAGGUGACGCAGCUAACGCAUUAAGCUCUCCGCCUGGGGAGUACGGUCGCAAGAUUAAAACUCAAAGAAAUUGACGGGGGCCCGCACAAGCGGUGGAGCAUGUGGUUUAAUUCGAAGUAACGCGCAGAACCUUACUACCCUUGACAUGCCUGGCUAUCCAGAGAGAUUUGGAGUUCCUUCGGGACCAGUGCACAGGUGCUGCAUGGCUGUCGUCAGCUCGUGUCGUGAGAUGUUGGGUUAAGUCCCGCAACGAGCGCAACCCUCGCCUUUAGUUGCCAUCAUUUAGUUGGGCACUCUAGAGGAACUGCCGGUGAUAAGCCGGAGGAAGGUGGGGGAUGACGUCAAGUCCUCAUGGCCCUUACGGGGUAGGGGCUACACACGUGCUACAAUGGCGGUGACAGAGGGAUAAUCCCUAAAAACCGUCUCAGUUCGGAUUGUCUUCUG